AGGGGAAGAGGCUGAGAAGAUUUCCUUUUUUUGUGAAGAAUUUAGUUUUUUCACCCCUCUUUUCUCAGCCACCACAGGUGAAUUCCCUCUUGGCAGCUGGCUUAUGAAAUAAUCUGGAGGGAGUCCUUAAUGAGCAGAAAGCCCCCUCAGCUGGAGAUAAAUAUAUGCAAAUGAGAUGCACAAACAAAGGAGCCUGGACAGAGAAAUAUCUGCCGUUCCAGCAAAACGCCGCCUGCAGCUCGAAGAUGAACAGCUUUGAUAAAAUGGAACAAAGCCCUGAACCCAAAGAUCUUACUGCAGAGAGCUUGGGCUCCUGACCUGGAAACUGCUGUGUCUCUGCUGUUCUGUUGAGGUGACUGGUGACGGCAGCUAAGACCACUUAGGAACAUGCUGAACUGGGACUAUACAAGAAUGAAGAAAUGUUUAAUAUUUUGAGAAAUAUUCCUCACAUGACCUGAUGACUCAAACACACCAAUCUGUAUUAAGAAGUGGAUAAAUACAAACAUUUAAAGGAAUCAACAUUUAUCUGGAAUACACAAUUUCAAUGCUCCUCAGCCUCACCCUCAAAAGAGUCAUUUGUCUUCUGCAUCCUGAGUUGUUUAGAGGAUUCUGGCAAAUAUAGCAGUUAAACAAACUUCUCACACAAUCUAAAUACUGUCUGUUCAAAAUAAGACUUCCAGUGUUUAUAGCCCAUAAGUGAAGAAUAAAAAAAAAAAUCUGGUAUUUACCCAAGGACCAUGCACUUGAAAACGUCUCUGAACAAAGUGUUUAAGCAAAACUUUGGCUACAGACAUUCUCAGUUCUUCAAUUUUUCUGGCAUUCCCUGCCUUGGAGGAAUUUUCACACCAGUUUGUUAUUUCUCUUGAAAUUAACUGAUUAAAUUUUAGCCAGAAAUGACUGGGGGACCUGGGCGCAACAACUUCCUUUCGAAACAGAGGAAAAGAAAACAUCCCACUGCCCCCACCCCCCAGACCCCCAUCUCCUGACAAGGGCCUCGGAGGAGAGGCCCGAUUAUGCAUUGUGAUCAGCGUGGUGUGAUUUGACUGUUGACAAAGUAUCGUCGGCAGUGAGAACAGCACAGUCAGGAGCGUGGCGGGUUGUAAUCAAGAAGAUGCUUAGCUGUGCAACACUGCAUCUUGAGCAGAUUUGAAUCAGCAUUGCCUGAAGGGGGUACACACACACCGAAAGAAAACUCCAUUCACUCUUAGAGGGAACAUUAGAGUGGCACUUGAAGUAAAAUUUGACACGCGUUAAUUGCUCUGUGGCUCUCCUAAUUAGAGACUCAGACUCUUCCACAUGGCCUUGCUGGACAAAUACCGAAACUGCAAAUUGGUCUGACCAAGAAGUUGUGCACGUAAGACUGGACUCCACAUUCUGGUUCACUUCCAAACAGUGGUCAGCUGGGGAGCAAUGCCCACUUUUCUCUUCAGCCCAGGCUUAAAGGCGAGCCUGGUGAACAGUUCACCAUCACGCCUAAUGCAAAGGAAGCGGGUGCUGCUGGGGUCUGCAUAGGCAGGUGGAAACGUCCCUGUGGUAGCCUGCUUCCUAUGAAAUACUUCAGGUGGAAGAAAGACAGUGAGAGGCUAGUAUACUCAUGUUUCUACUUAGAUCAUGCAGAAAUUGUCGAGGCAGACUUUUUCAGACACCAUGUUCCAUUUUUCUCAGUUUUAACCUUGCACUCCAGGUUCACCCUUCUUGUCCUAAAGUAAUUACACUACUGUUUGGCCCCCAUGUUGCCACCAAAUAUGAUACCAUAAUUUUGGCUUCCUUUAUUCAACUUCUCUUGUCUAGCCCUUGAACUCCUUUUAAUUCAUUAACAUAUUGAAUUUUUUCAAUUUUCCAUUUUCUUGCAAUAACAAUAUUAAUGCCGGAAUGAAAGCUUGAUUGGAGCUAAAUUACUUGUUACCUGCUGGCAUUUAUUUAUAUGGCAUUGAAUUAUAAAGCUUUGCUAUUGUCAUGCCUUGGGCGAAUUGUUUAUGACACCAGUAAUAGGAGUAAUUGUUAUUGUUGAAAUUACCUGUCAGCUACCCAUAGCAGUGGCCCUUGUCCCACUGACAAAUAGUGACAAGGGAGAGGCAUCCUCCAUGCGUCCCCCUGAUGGCUUCUCCUCUGAUAAUAAGAAGUGCAGGGCCUCUGAUAAUUUGCCUGUCACUGUUGAGUGCAGCUCAGAGAGAGUUGGCCAAAUUGUUGUCAUUCACUUUGACAAAGACAGCAAAAUGCUCCCAUGGAGGAGGAGGAUUAUCAAAAUAAAUGAAAUCACUUACACCCUCUUUGUUUGUUUGGCUCAAGAAUUGCAUGGCUUUGUAUGAGGAUGUUAAAUCAAGGUCCUGGUC
Molecule: long non-coding RNA, 2333 nt
Organism: Jaculus jaculus (lesser Egyptian jerboa)
Lineage: Eukaryota; Metazoa; Chordata; Mammalia; Rodentia; Dipodidae
Exons: 4
Source: RefSeq, a predicted model, not a curated record